RNAcentral lists this ribosomal RNA (191 nucleotides) under Chaetothyriales sp. H5. RNAcentral's name for it is "partial small subunit ribosomal RNA". It matches the Rfam family "Eukaryotic small subunit ribosomal RNA", at positions 1089 to 1278 of the family's 1831-position model. The record is from RNAcentral. Lineage: Eukaryota; Fungi; Ascomycota; Eurotiomycetes; Chaetothyriales.
UACGAGAAAUCAAAGUUUUUGGGCUCGGGGGGGAGUAUGGUCGCAAGGCUGAAACUNAAAGAAAUUGACGGAAGGGCACCACCCAGGCGUGGAGCCUGCGGCUUAAUUUGACUCAACACGGGGAAACUCACCAGGUCCAGACAUGCUUAGGAUUGACAGAUUGAUAGCUCUUUCUUGAUUGUAUGGGUGGU